UCUCAUGCCGGGAUUUAGAUUAGCUCCUACGUAAACAUUUUUCUCUGGCCAUUGUUCAAAUAACACCACAACCUCGAGUUCUUCUAUUGUCGUUUUGAUGUUCUCAUUUUCUUCAGGUUCUUGAAUUACAUCGGGCCUCGAAUCUAAAUAUGUUGUUUCAGUUGAAGUUUGGUUGCUGACACCUUCAACUGUUUCCCAUAAUUG
RNAcentral lists this long non-coding RNA (204 nucleotides) under Nicotiana benthamiana. Its description in RNAcentral is "long non-coding RNA (NBEN_LNC015303)". Lineage: Eukaryota; Viridiplantae; Streptophyta; Magnoliopsida; Solanales; Solanaceae. The record is from RNAcentral.